GAUGAACGCUGGCGGCGUGCCUAAUACAUGCAAGUCGAGCGAACAGACGAGGAGCUUGCUCCUCUGACGUUAGCGGCGGACGGGUGAGUAACACGUGGAUAACCUACCUAUAAGACUGGGAUAACUUCGGGAAACCGGAGCUAAUACCGGAUAAUAUAUUGAACCGCAUGGUUCAAUAGUGAAAGACGGUUUUGCUGUCACUGAUAGAUGGAUCCGCGCCGCAUUAGCUAGUUGGUAAGGUAACGGCUUACCAAGGCGACGAUGCGUAGCCGACCUGAGAGGACGGCCAGCGACACUGGGAGUGAGACAGGGCGCAGAGUCCGACGGGAGGCAGCAGUGGGGAAUUUUGGACAAUGGGCGCAAGCCUGAGCCAGCAAUGCCGCAUGCAGGAUGAAGUUCUGAGGAUUGUAAACUGCGUUUAUACGGAACGAAAAGCCCGCUUCGAAUACAGGAGGGCCAUGACGGUACCGUAAGAAUAAGCACCGGCUAACGACGUG
Molecule: ribosomal RNA, 497 nt
Filed under: uncultured bacterium
Lineage: Bacteria
Description: partial 16S ribosomal RNA
Rfam family: Bacterial small subunit ribosomal RNA
Source: RNAcentral